Molecule: small nucleolar RNA, 108 nt
Organism: Malania oleifera
Lineage: Eukaryota; Viridiplantae; Streptophyta; Magnoliopsida; Santalales; Ximeniaceae
Source: RefSeq, a predicted model, not a curated record
AACUCGUGAUGUGGACAAAUAUUUAUGAGAUCCUUCAACCUUUCCCAACAAGCCUAGAAGGUCUCGUCACCCUUUUGCAUAAACUAAAUGAUUUGUUCCUGCAAAAAU